Molecule: long non-coding RNA, 614 nt
Filed under: Vitis vinifera (wine grape)
Lineage: Eukaryota; Viridiplantae; Streptophyta; Magnoliopsida; Vitales; Vitaceae
Description: long non-coding RNA (VVIN_LNC000821)
Source: RNAcentral
GAAUCGGCACCAAACCCAUCAAUCCAUCACUGGUAUCCCGCAAUUCUUCGUGCUGCUCUAAUAACUCAAGGCGUGAUUCAAAACCCUAGUUCAAACCAUCCUUUUCAGUGCUACCCAAAUCAAUCACCUUCCUGACACUCUCCGAAACCCUCUGUUUUACAAGUCAAAUUGCUUUCUCUGAGACCAUUAUUCUUACGGUCAGAAGCGCUUGGAAAAUUGGAAGGGGUAGAAGUGAUGUUGGCCAAUGAUAACGCGAUCAUUCGGAAGCAAGAGAAAAUAUUAGCUUGGCUUUAACCCAUUUAGCUAUGCUUGCAAAUAACCCCGGAGUUGCGAUUCUGUACGAGCCAUUGAAUCCCAUAGGAUUAGAAAGGCCAAAUCUGAUGCCAAUAAGACGUUACCUCCAGUCUCCACAAUCCAUUACAAUACCUCGGAAUCAAUUAUUUUUGAGUGGGAUUGUUGCACAGUUCAUCCCUCAUAUUGACACUUACAUCAUUCCUCAACAUAUACCCAAAUACAAGAGCAAGGGUUCGAACACCAUGCGAGGAAAAGAAUAUAGAUAAAAGAUAAAAAAAAAAUUGAAGUAAAACUUGGAGAAGGAAAUGGCAGAAGGUGUU